UCGGGAAUUUUGGGCAAUGGGCGAAAGCCUGACCCAGCAACGCCGCGUGAAGGAUGAAGUCUUUCGGGAUGUAAACUUCGUAAAAAUAGGAAGAAUAAAUGACGGUACUAUUUGUAAGGUCCGGCUAACUACGUGCCAGCAGCCGCGGUAAUACGUAGGGACCAAGCGUUGUUCGGAUUUACUGGGCGUAAAGGGCGCGUAGGCGGCAUGACAAGUCACUUGUGAAAUCUCUGGGCUUAACCCAGAACGGCCAAGUGAUACUGUCGUGCUAGAGUGCAGAAGGGGCAAUCGGAAUUCUUGGUGUAGCGGUGAAAUGCGUAGAUAUCAAGAGGAACACCUGAGGUGAAGACGGGUUGCUGGGCUGACACUGACGCUGAGGCGCGAAAGCCAGGGGAGCAAACGGGAUUAGAUACCCCCGUAGUCCCUGAGCGGGCUGGCAAGGCGCAU
Molecule: ribosomal RNA, 447 nt
Filed under: uncultured bacterium
Lineage: Bacteria
Description: bacterial SSU rRNA
Rfam family: Bacterial small subunit ribosomal RNA
Source: RNAcentral